This 486-nucleotide ribosomal RNA is filed under the name uncultured bacterium. RNAcentral's name for it is "partial 16S ribosomal RNA". It matches the Rfam family "Bacterial small subunit ribosomal RNA", at positions 899 to 1397 of the family's 1533-position model. The record is from RNAcentral.
ACUCAAAUGAAUUGACGGGGACUUGCACAAGCGGUGGAUCAUGCGGCUUAAUUCGAUGAUAAACGAAAAACCUCACCAGGGUUUGAAACGGAGACGACCGGUUUAGGAAACUUUACCUUUCGCAAGACGGCUCCGCAGGUGAUGCAUGGUCGUCGUCAAUUCGUGGCUUGAGUUGUUCCCUUCAGUGGGGUAACGAAUGUAACCCUCGUUGCUUGUUUUCUAUGUCAAGCGAGACUGCCCCCUCACGGGGGAGGAAGGUGAGGAUGACGCCAGAUCAGCAUGUCCCUCUGAUAUCCUGGGCUGCACGCAUGAUACAAUGCACUCGACAACAGGUCGCGACGGGGUAACCCUGAGCUAAUCCUUAUAAACGAGUGCCCAGUUCGGAUUGAGGUCUGCAACCCGACCUCAUGAAGCCGGAAUCGCUAGUAAUCGCGGGUCAGCUAUACCGCGGUGAAUACGUUCUCAAGUCUUGUACACACCGCCCGU